RNAcentral lists this ribosomal RNA (449 nucleotides) under uncultured bacterium. RNAcentral's name for it is "partial 16S ribosomal RNA". It matches the Rfam family "Bacterial small subunit ribosomal RNA", at positions 338 to 795 of the family's 1533-position model. The record is from RNAcentral.
CCUACGGGUGGCUGCAGUGGGGAAUUUUGGACAAUGGGGGCAACCCUGAUCCAGCCAUGCCGCGUGAGUGAAGAAGGCCUUCGGGUUGUAAAGCUCUUUCGGACGGGAAGAAAUAGUUCGGGCCAAUACCCCGGACCGAUGACGGUACCGUUAGAAGAAGCACCGGCUAACUACGUGCCAGCAGCCGCGGUAAUACGUAGGGUGCGAGCGGGAAUCGGGAGUACUGGGCGUAUAGCGUACGCCGGAGGUGAAAGCCCCGGGCUUAACCUGGGAACUGCGUUUGUGACUGCAAGACUAGAGUUCGGCAGAGGGGGGUGGAAUUCCACGUGUAGCAGUGAAAUGCGUAGAUAUGUGGAGGAACACCGAUGGCGAAGGCAGCCCCCUGGGCCGUGACUGACGCUCAUGCACGAAAGCGUGGGGAGCAAACAGGAUUAGAUACCCCUGUAGUC